This 877-nucleotide long non-coding RNA is filed under the name Oryza sativa Indica Group (long-grained rice). RNAcentral's name for it is "lncRNA OsMH63_12G000610". Lineage: Eukaryota; Viridiplantae; Streptophyta; Magnoliopsida; Poales; Poaceae. The record is from RNAcentral.
UAUAGGUUGAUAAUAGAAGAGAUACAACCUGAGACCUCGGAAUUGCCCGAUGGAAGGAUACAAGUGCAUCAAGAGAUAGACGCUGCAGUUGCAGAGCUGAUAGAACAAGAAGCCCUUGAUGAAUUAGAGCAACUGGUGGGAGCCCAACUAGAAGCCCCUGCAGAUCAGCAAAAUCCAGUUGAGCAACAUCAAGAUGAGGAUGACAAGCUGAGUUUAGAUAAUUUGUUGGAACAACAUCGUUGGGAGGGAGCUCUGCAGCGGCUGAUGCGCAUGGUCCGUAAUGGCGAAGCCAUCAAUGGCCCAGUACCUGACGCGCCACCCCAAGACAUUUAUGUUGCUCAUCCCGAGAUCGUCAUUUUGCUCAUGGCAGAAGAGUACCUAAGGCUUAUGCGUUCUGGCAAUGCUGCUGCUGCUAUGCGCUAUUAUCAUGACAAAAUUGAGAUCAUUUAUUCGGGAAAUACCGGAAGUGCCUUUGUUAACGGUGGUGUUCUGAAAGAAAUCCAGGAUUGGGUGAAUGCAAAGAGAGAUACUCCAUCGGGAAAAGAUGAAGCUACGACCCAUAUGGAGAAUACCUGCCAGGCGAUCCAUGACUAUUUGAAGCUUUAUUUUCCAGCAUACAGGCCACAGAUUGGAGGAAAAGUUAGAGGUCACCAAGUAAGCAAGGUUUGGGAGUUCGGGGAGAGGCUUGGAAAAGAUGGCGGCCGCUGCUUAGCGUGCCACAAGAAAGUGAAGGGAUUCAAUGUGACCAAACUCCAGAAUCACCUGCAAGGAUCGGUUAAAAGGCAAGGGACACAAUGCCCGGCAAUCAAUGACUACAUCCUAAGUAGGCUCGAACAGAUUUUGAAAGAAAUGAACGAAGAUCAAUAAGAACAAAUUA